Molecule: ribosomal RNA, 553 nt
Filed under: uncultured crenarchaeote
Lineage: Archaea; Thermoproteati; Thermoproteota
Description: bacterial SSU rRNA
Rfam family: Archaeal small subunit ribosomal RNA
Source: RNAcentral
AUGGGGUGCNGCNNGCGAGAAAACUUUGCAACGUGCGAAAGCACGACAAGGUUAAUCCGAGUGAUUCCUGCUAAAGGAAUCUUUUGUUAGUCAUAAUACCACUAAUGAAUAAGGGGUGGGCAAGUUCUGGUGUCAGCCGCCGCGGUAAAACCAGCACCUCAAGUGGUCAGGAUGAUUAUUGGGCCUAAAGCAUCCGUAGCCGGCUCUGUUAGUUUUCGGUUAAAUCUAUAUGCUCAACAUAUAGGCCGCCGGGAAUACUACAAAGCUAGGGAGUGGGAGAGGUAGACGGUACUCCGUAGGAAGGGGUAAAAUCCUUUGAUCUAUGGAUGACCACCUGUGGCGAAGGCGGUCUACCAGAACACGUUCGACGGUGAGGGAUGAAAGCUGGGGGAGCAAACCGGAUUAGAUACCCGGGUAGUCCCAGCUGUAAACUAUGCAAACUCAGUGAUGCAUUGGCUUGUGGCCAGUGCAGUGCCGCAGAGAAGUCGUUAAGUUUGCCGCCUGGGAAGUACGUACGCAAGUAUGAAACUUAAAGGAAUUGGCGGGGGAGCAC